CUUUGUUCUUCCGCGAGCUAAUGUCAUGAAGCUGAGAGAUCGUCUCAGAAAUGAAGAAGUUGCUGCAGGUUUAUUCCUUUGCGGAACCAAAAAUGGCCUAACAUAUUGUCGUGAGUCUAUGGCACGCCGUGCAGAGCAGGUAUUGAGACUGGACAAAUUGGUCUCAGAUUGGUUAGCAAGGGUGAUAGGUUGACAACUGUUGCCAGAGAAUGGAAUAUAGGUUUUGCCUGCUUCACGGAUGGAAGGUAUACACUACCAGUAAAGGAACACGGUGGUAUAUUGUGACAGUUACUUUUAGAUGCUGAGUUAGGUGAGGCUACCUCUUAUGUUGAUGGAGAUUAUGAUGGAUGUCAAAAUGGCUUACCACUCCAUGGGACUAAUUGCAUAUGGAAGGAACCGGUGUUUGGGCUGGCAUUAGGUCACCGGUAGAUUUGGAUGCAUUCGGAAGGUCUGAUAGUGAAGUUGGAGAUUCCAAUUGCCAAAUAAUGGAUGCUUAUCAGUUGGACAGGGGACCUAUAUAUUUUUAUACUUGUUUUGU
Molecule: long non-coding RNA, 538 nt
Organism: Zingiber officinale
Lineage: Eukaryota; Viridiplantae; Streptophyta; Magnoliopsida; Zingiberales; Zingiberaceae
Exons: 3
Source: RefSeq, a predicted model, not a curated record